RNAcentral lists this ribosomal RNA (447 nucleotides) under uncultured bacterium. RNAcentral describes it as "partial 16S ribosomal RNA". It matches the Rfam family "Bacterial small subunit ribosomal RNA", at positions 29 to 523 of the family's 1533-position model. The record is from RNAcentral.
AACGAACGCUGGCGGCAUGCCUAACACGCAAGUCGAACGAGAUCUUCGGGUCUAGUGGCGCACGGGUGCGUAACGCGUGGGAAUCUGCCCUUUGGUUCGGAAUAACAGUUGGAAACGACUGCUAAUACCGGAUGAUGACGAAAGUCCAAAGAUUUAUCGCCAGAGGAUGAGCCCGCGUAGGAUUAGCUAGUUGGUGUGGUAAAGGCGCACCAAGGCGACGAUCCUUAGCUGGUCUGAGAGGAUGAUCAGCCACACUGGGACUGAGACACGGCCCAGACUCCUACGGGAGGCAGCAGUGGGGAAUAUUGGACAAUGGGCGAAAGCCUGAUCCAGCAAUGCCGCGUGAGUGAUGAAGGCCUUAGGGUUGUAAAGCUCUUUUACCCGGGAUGAUAAUGACAGUACCGGGAGAAUAAGCUCCGGCUAACUCCGUGCCAGCCGCCGCAGUAA